GAAUCUUGCACAAUGGGGGAAACCCUGAUGCAGCGACGCCGCGUGAGCGAUGGAGCCCUUCGGGGUGUAAAGCUCUUUCGGCAGGGAAGAUGAUGACGGUACCUGCAGAAGCAGCUGCGGCUAACUACGUGCCAGCAGCCGCGGUAAUACGUAGGCAGCAAGCGUUGUUCGGAGUUACUGGGCGUAAAGGGUGUGUAGGCGGUUGUUUAAGUUUGGUGUGAAAUCUCCCGGCUCAACUGGGAGGGUGCGCCGAAUACUGAAUGACUAGAGUGCGGGAGAGGAAAGUGGAAUUCCUGGUGUAGCGGUGAAAUGCGUAGAUAUCAGGAGGAACACCGGUGGUGUAGACGGCUUUCUGGACCGUAACUGACGCUGAGACACGAAAGCGUGGGUAGCAAACAG
This 399-nucleotide ribosomal RNA is filed under the name uncultured bacterium. Its description in RNAcentral is "bacterial SSU rRNA". It matches the Rfam family "Bacterial small subunit ribosomal RNA", at positions 359 to 775 of the family's 1533-position model. The record is from RNAcentral.